GUGAGUCAUCGAAUCUUUGAACGCACAUUGCGCCCGUCAGUAUUCUGGCGGGCAUGCCUGUUCGAGCGUCAUUACGCCCCUCAAGUCCCCUGUGGACUUGGUGUUGGGGAUCGGCGAGGCUGGUUUUCCAGCACAGCCGUCCCUUAAAUUAAUUGGCGGUCUCGCCGUGGCCCUCCUCUGCGCAGUAGUAAAACACUCGCAACAGGAGCCCGGCGCGGUCCACUGCCGUAAAACCCCCCAACUUUUUAUAGUUGACCUCGAAUCAGGUAGGACUACCCGCUGAACUUAAGCAUAUCAAUA
This 300-nucleotide unclassified non-coding RNA is filed under the name uncultured Metarhizium. RNAcentral describes it as "sequence contains 5.8S rRNA gene, ITS2". The stretch from base 1 to 71 matches the Rfam family "5.8S ribosomal RNA", at positions 84 to 154 of the family's 154-position model. Lineage: Eukaryota; Fungi; Ascomycota; Sordariomycetes; Hypocreales; Clavicipitaceae. The record is from RNAcentral.